Molecule: ribosomal RNA, 253 nt
Filed under: uncultured bacterium
Lineage: Bacteria
Description: partial 16S ribosomal RNA
Rfam family: Bacterial small subunit ribosomal RNA
Source: RNAcentral
UACGUAGGGGGCAAGCGUUGUCCGGAAUCAUUGGGCGUAAAGAGCGUGUAGGCGGCCCGGUAAGUCCGCUGUGAAAGCCCAGGGCUCAACCCUGGGAUGCCGGUGGAUACUGUCUGGCUCGAGUCCGGAAGAGGAGUGUGGAAUUCCUGGUGUAGCGGUGAAAUGCGCAGAUAUCAGAAGGAACACCAAUGGCGAAGGCAGCUCGCUGGAACGGAACUGACGCUGAGGCGCGAAAGCGUGGGGAGCGAACAGG